RNAcentral lists this ribosomal RNA (303 nucleotides) under uncultured beta proteobacterium. RNAcentral describes it as "bacterial SSU rRNA". It matches the Rfam family "Bacterial small subunit ribosomal RNA", at positions 376 to 671 of the family's 1533-position model. Lineage: Bacteria; Pseudomonadati; Pseudomonadota; Betaproteobacteria. The record is from RNAcentral.
GGCAACCCUGAUCCAGCCAUUCCGCGUGAGUGAAGAAGGCCUUCGGGUUGUAAAGCUCUUUCGCAAGAGAAGAAAUCUUACUAUCAAAUAAAUAGUAAGGAUGACGGUAUCUUGACAAGAAGCACCGGCUAACUAUGUGCCAGCAGCCGCGGUAAUACAUAGGGUGCGAGCGUUAAUCGGAAUUACUGGGCGUAAAGGGUGCGCAGGCGGUUUUGUAAGUCAGAUGUGAAAUCCCCGAGCUCAACUUGGGAACUGCGUUUGAAACUACAAGACUAGAGUGUGUCAGAGGGGGGUAGAAUUCCA